AAAUUGAAGAGUUUGAUCAUGGCUCAGAUUGAACGCUGGCGGCAGGCCUAACACAUGCAAGUCGAACGGUAACAGGAAGCAGCUUGCUGCUUCGCUGACGAGUGGCGGACGGGUGAGUAAUGUCUGGGAAACUGCCUGAUGGAGGGGGAUAACUACUGGAAACGGUAGCUAAUACCGCAUAAUGUCGCAAGACCAAAGAGGGGGACCUUCGGGCCUCUUGCCAUCGGAUGUGCCCAGAUGGGAUUAGCUUGUUGGUGGGGUAACGGCUCACCAAGGCGACGAUCCCUAGCUGGUCUGAGAGGAUGACCAGCCACACUGGAACUGAGACACGGUCCAGACUCCUACGGGAGGCAGCAGUGGGGAAUAUUGCACAAUGGGCGCAAGCCUGAUGCAGCCAUGCCGCGUGUAUGAAGAAGGCCUUCGGGUUGUAAAGUACUUUCAGCGGGGAGGAAGGGAGUAAAGUUAAUACCUUUGCUCAUUGACGUUAUCCGCAGAAGAAGCACCGGCUAACUCCGUGCCAGCAGCCGCGGUAAUACGGAGGGUGCAAGCGUUAAUCGGAAUUACUGGGCGUAAAGCGCACGCAGGCGGUUUGUUAAGUCAGAUGUGAAAUCCCCGGGCUCAACCUGGGAACUGCAUCUGAUACUGGCAAGCUUGAGUCUCGUAGAGGGGGGUAGAAUUCCAGGUGUAGCGGUGAAAUGCGUAGAGAUCUGGAGGAAUACCGGUGGCGAAGGCGGCCCCCUGGACGAAGACUGACGCUCAGGUGCGAAAGCGUGGGGAGCAAACAGGAUUAGAUACCCUGGUAGUCCACGCCGUAAACGAUGUCGACUUGGAGGUUGUGCCCUUGAGGCGUGGCUUCCGGAGCUAACGCGUUAAGUCGACCGCCUGGGGAGUACGGCCGCAAGGUUAAAACUCAAAUGAAUUGACGGGGGCCCGCACAAGCGGUGGAGCAUGUGGUUUAAUUCGAUGCAACGCGAAGAACCUUACCUGGUCUUGACAUCCACGGAAGUUUUCAGAGAUGAGAAUGUGCCUUCGGGAACCGUGAGACAGGUGCUGCAUGGCUGUCGUCAGCUCGUGUUGUGAAAUGUUGGGUUAAGUCCCGCAACGAGCGCAACCCUUAUCCUUUGUUGCCAGCGGUCCGGCCGGGAACUCAAAGGAGACUGCCAGUGAUAAACUGGAGGAAGGUGGGGAUGACGUCAAGUCAUCAUGGCCCUUACGACCAGGGCUACACACGUGCUACAAUGGCGCAUACAAAGAGAAGCGACCUCGCGAGAGCAAGCGGACCUCAUAAAGUGCGUCGUAGUCCGGAUUGGAGUCUGCAACUCGACUCCAUGAAGUCGGAAUCGCUAGUAAUCGUGGAUCAGAAUGCCACGGUGAAUACGUUCCCGGGCCUUGUACACACCGCCCGUCACACCAUGGGAGUGGGUUGCAAAAGAAGUAGGUAGCUUAACCUUCGGGAGGGCGCUUACCACUUUGUGAUUCAUGACUGGGGUGAAGUCGUAACAAGGUAACCGUAGGGGAACCUGCGGUUGGAUCACCUCCUUACCUUAAAGAAGC
RNAcentral lists this ribosomal RNA (1554 nucleotides) under Shigella boydii. RNAcentral's name for it is "bacterial SSU rRNA". It matches the Rfam family "Bacterial small subunit ribosomal RNA". The record is from RNAcentral. RNAcentral also lists the same sequence under 1 other name. Lineage: Bacteria; Pseudomonadati; Pseudomonadota; Gammaproteobacteria; Enterobacterales; Enterobacteriaceae.